RNAcentral lists this ribosomal RNA (485 nucleotides) under uncultured Pseudomonadota bacterium. Its description in RNAcentral is "bacterial SSU rRNA". It matches the Rfam family "Bacterial small subunit ribosomal RNA", at positions 355 to 857 of the family's 1533-position model. Lineage: Bacteria; Pseudomonadati; Pseudomonadota. The record is from RNAcentral.
UGGGGAAUAUUGGACAAUGGGCGCAAGCCUGAUCCAGCAAUGCCGCGUGAGUGAUGAAGGCCUUCGGGUUGUAAAGCUCUUUCGCACGCGACGAUGAUGACGGUAGCGUGAGAAGAAGCCCCGGCUAACUUCGUGCCAGCAGCCGCGGUAAUACGAAGGGGGCUAGCGUUGUUCGGAAUUACUGGGCGUAAAGGGCGCGUAGGCGGUGUGUCAAGUCAGGCGUGAAAGCCCCGGGCUCAACCUGGGAACCGCGCUUGAGACUGGCACGCUAGAGUUCGGGAGAGGAUGGUGGAAUUCCCAGUGUAGAGGUGAAAUUCGUAGAUAUUGGGAAGAACACCGAUGGCGAAGGCAGCCAUCUGGACCGACACUGACGCUGAGGCGCGAAAGCGUGGGGAGCAAACAGGAUUAGAUACCCUGGUAGUCCACGCCGUAAACGAUGAGUGCUAGACGUCGGGGCCCUCAGGGCUUCGGUGUCGCAGCUAACG